This 106-nucleotide small nucleolar RNA is filed under the name Gossypium arboreum. RNAcentral's name for it is "Plant small nucleolar RNA R71". It matches the Rfam family "Plant small nucleolar RNA R71". From Rfam's summary of the family: R71 is a member of the C/D box family of snoRNAs containing the C (UGAUGA) and D (CUGA) box motifs. The record is from Rfam by way of RNAcentral. Lineage: Eukaryota; Viridiplantae; Streptophyta; Magnoliopsida; Malvales; Malvaceae.
AUCCCAUGAUGAGGACACUUACGAAGUAACUCCUUGAAUCACUCCCAAGCCUCAUACAAAGAAUCAUCAUCAAUUGUUGGGAAGUUACGAUCUCAUUCCUCAACUU